CCUACGGUGGGCUGCAGUGAGGAAUAUUGGUCAAUGGGCGCGAGCCUGAACCAGCCAAGUAGCGUGAAGGAUGACUGCCCUACGUGUUGUAAACUUCUUUUGUAAAGGAAUAAAGUGAGGCACGCGUGCCUUGUUGUAUGUACUUUAUGAAUAAGGAUCGGCUAACUCCGUGCCAGCAGCCGCGGUAAUACGGAGGAUCCGAGCGUUAUCCGGAUUUGUUGGGUUUAAAGGGAGCGUAGGUGGGUUGUUAAGUCAGUUGUGAAAGUUUGCGGCUCAACCGUAAAAUUGCAAUUGAUACUGGCAGUCUUGAGUGCAGGUGAGGUAGGCGGAAUGCGUGGUGUAGCGGUGAAAUGCUUAGAUAUCACGAAGAACUCCGAUUGCGAAGGCAGCUUACUAAACUGCCACUGACAUUGAGGCUCGAAAGUGUGGGUAUCAAACAGGAUUAGAUACCCCAGUAGUC
This 460-nucleotide ribosomal RNA is filed under the name uncultured bacterium. Its description in RNAcentral is "partial 16S ribosomal RNA". It matches the Rfam family "Bacterial small subunit ribosomal RNA", at positions 338 to 795 of the family's 1533-position model. The record is from RNAcentral.